CAUACCUCCUUACCGCAUAUCACACAGAAAGUGGGACGGGGUUACCCAAAGUGUCCAUUAUUGGACGGUGGUAGGUGAGUAAUGUCCCCUACUAGAAAGGAGAGGGCAAGGCUGGGGCCACCCGCCGCGGUAAAACCAGCUCUUCAAGUGGUCGGGAUAAUUAUUGGGCUUAGAGGGUCCGUAGCCGGUUUAGUAAGUUCCUGGUAAAAUCAGGUAGCCUAACUAUCUGCAUGCUAGGAAUACUGUUAUACUAGAGGGGGGGGAAGGUCUGAGGUACUAUAGGGGUAGGGGUGAAAUCUUAUAAUCCUUGUAGGACCACCAGUGGCGAAGGCGUCAGACUGGAACGCGCCUGACGGUGAGGGACGAAAGCCAGGGGAGCGAACCGGAUUAGAUACCCGGGUAGUCUUGGCCGUAAACGAUGAUUACUAGGGGAUGGCACGGCCUUGAGCCUGGUCAGUGCCGUAGGGAAACCGUUAAUGUGGCCGCCUGGAAAGUACGGCCGCAAGGUUAAAACUUAAAGAAAUUGGCGGGGGAAAGGGCGAUUUCGUUUAACCCUGCGGGACUAGUCCCUUUAGUGAGGGUUAUUUUUGAGCUUGGCGAAAUCAUGGCAUAGCUGUUUCCCGGAGAAGGCCAAAGGCCAUUCCCCGCCCCCAAAUCAAUUUCCCCCUAUUGGGGGGCGUUUUUACAUUUCCGGGGCCCCGUUUAAAA
RNAcentral lists this ribosomal RNA (708 nucleotides) under uncultured archaeon. RNAcentral's name for it is "bacterial SSU rRNA". It matches the Rfam family "Archaeal small subunit ribosomal RNA", at positions 336 to 1478 of the family's 1478-position model. The record is from RNAcentral.